This 508-nucleotide unclassified non-coding RNA is filed under the name Hevea brasiliensis (rubber tree). Lineage: Eukaryota; Viridiplantae; Streptophyta; Magnoliopsida; Malpighiales; Euphorbiaceae. The record is from RNAcentral.
GCAUUUGAAAACGCUUCUGGAAAGGUACUAUUUGAUUUUGUUAUAAUUCGAUCUGCACAAUGUGUUUCUAAAAUGAUAAGCUUGUUUUUAAACUAAAAAUAGGUGAGUUUUGGUUUUGUCCUCUCAAGGUUAAAAUCCAUGUCUGAACUUUUGCUUUUAGCCGUUCUCAAUCAUGGAAUUGAGAGAAGUGAUUUUAUUUAAGACUUCAACCACAUAGGGUGUUGGUGAAAGAAAAAUGUGAAUCAAUUUGAUGAAUGUCAACCAAGCAACCUAUGCUUCUUAUCACCCAAACAAAAAUCAUUCUUUUGAUGAAUGUCAUCUGUCACAUGCUAGCCAGAUUUCUGAUUAUGUAUAUCCCAAAACUUAAAGAUAUAUCAGUUAUGAGACCUGGCAUGAGCUUAAGCCUUGUUUCUGCACAACUUUUCCUGUACUUCUUUUUACUUGCAUUGUCUUUUUGUUAACACUUUUUUUAUGAUAUUGUCACAGAAAAUUCCUCUUGUAAUGGCUG